GCGAGGGGGUUGGAAACGGCCUGGCGACGGGGGCGGAGCGUGGAGCGGGCACCUGGGAGGAGCGCGAGGCAGCUGGGGCUUCUCCUCGGCUUCUCCGCAGAAGGAGGACCGGAGGGCGUGGGCUAUAGGGCCAGGUGCGCCAGGUGACUGGGGAGCGAGCGGGUGGCUGCUGCCUCAGGAACUGCAAGAUGUGAAAGUGGGAGGAGAUGUGAGUCCACGAGGAUUGUCAAUGCUCUAACUGCCCCGUCAGGAUGGGUUUUACCAGAUAAUCUGAAGCUCUCCUCUUCGUGGGCAAAUAUGACGGAAAGAAGUGAAAGGAUUGGGAAAUGGUUCCAGACCAUAUACAGUCGGCUUCUCGACCUUGUAGUAAAAAUUACAGAUUUCACUGGAGUUCGAUGAAGUUUAGAAAGACCAAAGAAACUGGACUACUCAAGGAUUUUAAGACCCAGGAAAUAGUGGGCAACCAAAAUGCUAUAUUGGAAACAUAAGUCUUACAUCAAAGCAAAUUCAAAUGUGUGUUAACCAGAGCCAGGCCAUCGUAUCGUUUUAUUCCUCCACCAAUUGCUUCAGGUCAAGGCACUGGUCCAAAGAGCUGGCUUGAUUCUGGCUCCAGAAUCCACUAUGCUCCAUGGAGACAGACACUGUCAAGGACAAGCACCUGGACCAUCUCCUCCCCACAAAGAGAUACAGCUGGUGGGAAAGCUGCUGACCAGCAAGGUCAUGAGCUCCCUCCUCUCUGCAAGUGUCUCAAGGCCAAAGACAGGCUGGUGGGAAAGCUCCGACCAGCAAGGCCCUAUGCUCCCCCUCCCCUACCGAAAACCCCAAAUAAAAACCCUUCCUUUUAGCUUUUUCGGGGAGUUUGGGAUUUCAGUGUUAGCUGCCCUCUCUCCUUGCUCAGUGCUGUGCAAAAAAGAAAGUUCCUACUUUCUUCCACCACCCCUGGUGUCAGAGAUUGGCUUGCUGCAUGAUGGGUGAGUGAACUCACUUCAGGUUCGGUAACAUUUCUAAAUAUCAGACCAUCUACAAGGCUGAUUUGGUGGAUAAGGUGAAUCCACAUUUAUUCAACAAUUAGGGUGCUGUGUUAUAAAUGUUGUGUUUAAGCCAGGUAUGUAAGAACAAAUAAUUAUUUGGAACACGUUUUUUUAAUAGUGAAAGACAAAAAGAAGAAAGGAGGGGGCCCCCUUAAGAAUUGUAAAGAUUGAAAUGUUUUGAAUUACAGGACACUCUCAGGAUUAUUCAUAACAUAGUAAAGUAAUAAUUUUUAUUUUGA
This 1270-nucleotide long non-coding RNA is filed under the name Equus asinus (donkey). Its description in RNAcentral is "lncRNA (ENSEASG00005033335.1)". Lineage: Eukaryota; Metazoa; Chordata; Mammalia; Perissodactyla; Equidae. The record is from RNAcentral.